GAUGAACGCUGGCGGCGUGCCUAAUACAUGCAAGUCGAGCGCACGGACGAGAAGCUUGCUUCUCUGAUGUUAGCGGCGGACGUGUGAGUAACACGUGGAUAACCUACCUAUCAGACUGGGAUAACUUCGGGAAACCGGAGCUAAUACCGGAUAAUCUUUUGAACCGCAUUGUUCAAAAGUGAAAGACGGUCUUGCUGUCACUUAUAGAUGGAUCCGCGCUGCAUUAGCUAGUUGGUAAGGUAACGGCUUACCAAGGCAACGAUGCAUAGCCGACCUGAGAGGGUGAUCGGCCACACUGGAACUGAGACACGGUCCAGACUCCUACGGGAGGCAGCAGUAGGGAAUCUUCCGCAAUGGGCGAAAGCCUGACGGAGCAACGCCGCGUGAGUGAGGAAGGUCUUCGGAUCGUAAAACUCUGUUAUUAGGGAAGAACAGAUGUGGAAGUAACUGUGCACAUCUUGACGGUACCUAAUCAGAAAGCCACGGCUAACUACGUG
Molecule: ribosomal RNA, 497 nt
Filed under: uncultured bacterium
Lineage: Bacteria
Description: partial 16S ribosomal RNA
Rfam family: Bacterial small subunit ribosomal RNA
Source: RNAcentral